Molecule: long non-coding RNA, 881 nt
Organism: Myotis daubentonii (Daubenton's bat)
Lineage: Eukaryota; Metazoa; Chordata; Mammalia; Chiroptera; Vespertilionidae
Source: RefSeq, a predicted model, not a curated record
CCAGCAGGAAGCACACGUCGCCCACCAGCACGAUGAUGCACACGCCGAUCUUGCGCGGGCCCUGGUUCUGCUGCACCAGACACUUCACCGAAGAGGAUGGCAGGUCAGCACGCGAGGAGAUGGUCGACUUCGGAAAACGCAGGUUUUGCUGAUGCGAUACCUCCACACCCAUGAAGACGCUGUGAGCCAGUAACUGUUGGGGGUUAUGGGGACACGGGGUUCAGAGCAAGUUGGUAGAUUUAAGCCCAAAUGCGAGAUUGACUCCGGUAAUUCCAAAUCCAUAGAGUGUCCAUCGGCAGACAAUGCAGUCUACUUCUACAAGGCAUUUAACACAGGGGCACAGAGCAGUGUUCCUCUCUCUCCCCCUCCUCCCUCCCUACCUUCCACUCUCUCCAAAAAACCAAUGGGAAAAAUAUCCUCGGGUGAGGAUGAACCAAAAAAAAAAGGGAAGAGCCCUCGCCGGUGUGGCUCAGUGGCUAGAGCGUCCGCCUGUGGACUGAAGGGUCCUGGGUUCAAUUCUAGUCAAGGGCACAUGCCCAGGUUUCGGGCUCCAUCCCCAGGAGUGGGCGUGCAGGAGGCAGCCAAUCAAUGAUUCUCUCUCAUCAUGAUGUUUCUCUCUCUCUCCCUCUCCCUUCCUCUCUGAAAUCAAUAAACAUGUUUUGUUUGUUUGUUUGUUUGUUUGUUUUUGUUUUUUUUAAGGGUGGCCUGGCCGCACUAGGCUCCGCAGGCAGUGGCCCGUAAGAAGGAGGCAUUCUUUUUAUUUAUUUGUUCUUGGCGCCCGUGACCGGAAUCGAACCUAGGGCCCUUGAGUCGACAGGCCGACGCUCCAUCCACUGAGCCAAACCAGUCAGGGCAAUAAACAUGUUUAAUUUUUUAAAAAA